GAAGCAGACACAAGGCAGAAGCACAAGGCCCAGAAACAGGAUAUAUUUCCACUCCUCCAACUUCAGGCACUUUCCUUAGAGCAGUGAUUUAUUUUUCAACACAGAUCAUCAAACAGAUCACUGGGAAUAGUCAUUCCAAAGCCCUCUCGGUGAGCUCUAAGCAAACAAAUAGGGGCGACAGUGAGUGGGGAAGGUAAUGCAAUAUUUUAAUGCAUUAAAAAUUCUGUUGCAUGUAAAUAUUAAGACAAACUUUAAAUGUAAAAAAAGCAAAUGAAAUUGGGUACCACCAAAUAAUGUUUAAAUAAUUCAUGGGCUGAAGAGAAAAUAAAAAUUGAAUAUUUAUAAGUGAAUAGAUUUGCAGUUAAAAUUGUAAGAAGUUGGGGCAGUAUGUAGACUAUAAGGGCAAAUGUAUUCACAAGAAAACAAGAAAAGGUGAAAAUAAAUGAGCUGCCAAUUAAGAGGAAUAAAAUAAUAACACAGGAAAAGAGCAGAUGGGAAAAGUACACACCUGUAUACAUGGAUUUUCUCCAACCUGCAGAAGAAACACUUGCUACCCAUACAGUGUUCUAACAUCAGAAAAAAAGAGGCUAUGACACAGAGGGAGGAGAGUAGGAGCCCCACCCAGGAUAAUGCUCCCAGGGUGAUUCCUAUUCUGGGCAACUGAUGGCUACAGAUCCAGAAACCUUUUCUGGUAGAAAAGAUUAACCUCCAGAAAGAUCUGACAGAGUGUCAGAGGACAGUAUCUGAACAGAGGAAGGUAGAAGGUCAUGGGACAACUGCCUGUGAGGGUUAAUCCUGCAAAGAGGAAUAACAGCUCUCCUGAAGUCUCAGCCUGGAUAGCCCAUCAGUGGCAGCUACAUCGUGAAGGCCAUCAGAACUCCUGGAAGCCAUGGAGAUGGGACACAGUUUGAUGGAGUCGAUCAGAGGAAGCAGCUGCCAUCUUCGCAGCCACACCGC
Long non-coding RNA from Mus musculus (house mouse), 957 nucleotides. RefSeq annotates it as predicted gene, 40838. The transcript has 3 exons. The record is from RefSeq and is a predicted model, not a curated record. NCBI's taxonomy places the organism in Eukaryota, Metazoa, Chordata, Mammalia, Rodentia, Muridae.